GUAACUUUUUUCAAAACCAUGUGCUUCACUAGUAAUCAUUUCUUCCCAACUCUUGCAUUUUAGCUUUAUUUGUUAUGUUUCUUUGACCUUCCUCAUAAAGCAAUUAUGUAUAUUUCUUUCAAUUUUUUAAGUAAGCUACAAGAUGAAAAUAAUAGUCUUAUUUUCUCAUAUAACACUCAACAAAAUCAGCAAGGAAAUAUGAUGGCUUACUGAGCUUGAGCCUUGUACUGUAUCUCAAACUUUCUGAAACUUUUUGAAGGAGGACAUCUCUCCCAAGUUUCAGGACACCAUCAAGAGAUUCAUCGAGGAUGACAUGGAAAAGGUGAAAGGUUUCAUAAAAGAAUCAAUUGUUCCUUUCAGACAGAGGUUGAAGAUUAUGGUUGAGUUGCUAUGUUUUUCAGUGAAUUUUUCAAAAUUUUAGAGAUAUGGAGAAAAUUAGGGGAAGUUUAUUAGUAUGCAUGGCAUGAUUAGACCCUUAUGUGGCAUCCAAGUGGCGUUUAACAGAUUCUGUUAAUAGAAAGUGUAUUUUUUACCCUAUAGUUUGACGCGAAGGGUAUAUUUGAGCCGAAAUAUAGUUCAAGGGUAUAUGUGAGCUAUUUCGGAUAGAUCAAGGGUAUUUUUGACCUUUUUCUGUUAAAACUAUUAAGAAUCUAAAUAAUUAGAACCUCAACUAAUGAGAUAUAUGUAAUUUACCCAAGAAAUAAUACGUAAAAGAAUUUAUUAAUGUAAUAAGCGUGUGGAACAAUUCUUCUUAAAUUUUGUUUUUAAUUUGCUAACCGUGUUCUGAUAUUUUAUG
This is a long non-coding RNA of Solanum pennellii, 796 nucleotides long. RefSeq lists it as uncharacterized. The record is from RefSeq and is a predicted model, not a curated record. The transcript is spliced from 3 exons. NCBI's taxonomy places the organism in Eukaryota, Viridiplantae, Streptophyta, Magnoliopsida, Solanales, Solanaceae.